GAUGAACGCUGGCGGCGUGCCUAAUACAUGCAAGUCGAGCGAACGGACGAGAAGCUUGCUUCUCUGAUGUUAGCGGCGGACGGGUGAGUAACACGUGGAUAACCUACCUAUAAGACUGGGAUAACUUCGGGAAACCGGAGCUAAUACCGGAUAAUAUUUUGAACCGCAUGGUUCAAAAGUAAAAGACGGUCUUGCUGUCACUUAUAGAUGGAUCCGCGCUGCAUUAGCUAGUUGGUAAGGUAACGGCUUACCAAGGCAACGAUGCAUAGCCGACCUGAGAGGGUGAUCUGCCACACUGGAACUGAGACACGGUCCAGACUCCUACGGGAGGCAGCAGUAGGGAAUCUUCCGCAAUGGGCGAAAGCCUGACGGAGCAACGCCGCGUGAGUGAUGAAGGUCUUCGGAUCGUAAAACUCUGUUAUUAGGGAAGAACAUAUGUGUAAGUAACUGUGCACAUCUUGACGGUACCUAAUCAGAAAGCCACGGCUAACUACGUG
RNAcentral lists this ribosomal RNA (497 nucleotides) under uncultured bacterium. Its description in RNAcentral is "partial 16S ribosomal RNA". It matches the Rfam family "Bacterial small subunit ribosomal RNA", at positions 28 to 507 of the family's 1533-position model. The record is from RNAcentral.